RNAcentral lists this long non-coding RNA (3176 nucleotides) under Homo sapiens (human). Its description in RNAcentral is "long intergenic non-protein coding RNA 635". Lineage: Eukaryota; Metazoa; Chordata; Mammalia; Primates; Hominidae. The record is from RNAcentral.
AAAUUUCCCACAAUAACUGCAAGUGACUAAAAAGAUGCUGUGUCUUUCAUCCCUGUCUCUGUCAUCAUCAUGCUUUCUUAACUAACAUAAUUUUUGAGAAAUAUUGGGAAAAUGCCAACAAAGAAAUAUAAUUUGAAAUUCCACCAUCCAGAGAAAAUCACUUUUCCUAGGGAAUAGAGACAUCUUCCAACUUAUGCAAUUUAUACAAUCAUCUGUUUUUCAAAGGUCUUAAGUAAAUCAUAUUUCAUAUACAUUGAAAUGCUUUCGAUUUGCUUCUGCGGCUUUUUGUAUCACCAUUCAUGGUGUUACAGUUCCUUUUUAAAAUGAUUUAAAAAAAAAAAAAAGACAAGGUCUUUGAAAUUAUUGAGCCACCCAUGCCUAGCCACCAACUUUGUACUAGGGGUGCUGUAUCUUUCCCUUUACGCCUUCAAAUAGACUGCUAGCCUCUGUCCUUAUCAGCACUUUCCAGUUGAAAUUAGAAGGCAGUAAAGGCGAAAUGACACAAACAACAUGGAAUUAGCGUGGCUGACACACAGAGAUCACAGCAGGUAAUGGAGACAGGUGAGGACCCAGUGAGGGGCAUGGGGAAGGGGCUGUGGAGCUCUGAAGUGCAUUUCCCACAUUUAGCCUUGCACUGGAUGUACAAAUGUCCACAUCUCUAAAAUUAAAUUAUGUACCUUAUGGAGCAAUUUGCAUAAAACAAUUUUGUAUCUGUUGUGUGUUUCAUAACCUGCGGUACAUCUGUACAUUUAUAGAUUUUAAAAAAUAGUAUAUAUCCUGCUUUGUAACAUGCUUUUUUUGUUGGCACAUGCCUCUUUAUGUCCAUAAAUAAAUACAGACGUCAUAAUUGCCGAUGACUACAAAACCCUCUGCUGUGUGUAUCUAUAAGAAUUAUUUAAACAGUUUCCAGUGAGUGGAUCUUCUGGGUGUUUCCAGUUCGGCUUAUAAUGGACGCCUCGGGUUCCCAGGGUUGUGUUCUUUGGUCUGCCUCUGGUUUCAGCCAUAGCUGCAAUGAACAUGGUCAUGAGAGCUCAGACUCACAUGGAAAAGCUAGCAAAGGGGCUUUUCCGAUGCUAAAGAGCCUUGAGGCAAAGGAGAGUCUUUCUCCUUGCUCCUAGACAACCUUAAACCAGUGGGGACGGACUGGUGAAUAAAUGCUUCAGGAGACCUUGUGAGUGUUUCGCGAGAGGGCGCUGUGGAGUUGAGUCCCAGCAGCCCAAGGCAUCAGCCUCACUAAGUUUGCUUUUCCCUCUUCCCUACUCUCUCCCUCCUGCUUCCCAGGAUCAUGUUGGAAAUAAACUACCUGUAUCCAGACAAGUCCUAAUCUCUCCUGUUCUGAGCCAAGAUAGGGACUCUGAUAAACAAUGAUGUGGACAAUAUCCUUGAAUGCACAUCUCUGCCGUGGAUCUAGUUAUUUCCUUAAGACAAAUCUCUAGAAAUGCUCAUUGCUGAUCUGGUUAUUUCCUUAAGAUAAAUCUCUAGAAAUGUUCACUGCUGAGUCAAAGGGCAUGGACUUUUAAAAACAAGCUCAAACAAGUGCUCUGUUUAACAGAGCUCUUAACUGUAAGGCGAUUGAUUUUAUUUUAUUUGCCUUUGCCUAUUCAAUCCCAGAGCUAUCAUGAAGCUCUCUUCCAUCAAGAAGCAAAACAUUGAUACUAACUUCCUGUAGUCUUUUAAGCCACCCUCUCCAGAGGCCCCAGAAAUCCCUCCCCGUUGCUGUCCUGCAAACACGAUGAAUGGAAUAGUUGGAAUGCACACCCACUGUCUCUCAAAUAGACAGCUCACUUUAUUGCCUGGUAGUUAUUAAGAAUGAGUAGUAAUUUUGCUGUAGAAAAGACUACUUAUAGGGAAAGUAAGAAACGAGAGAAACAUUCACUCAUAAUUUAACACAAGGAAAUAAAACCAACCAGAAGAUAAAAUGUCUGUUUCUCAAACAGCUCAAUCCUUAUAUCACUAGUAGCACUGGAGCUCUUAAUUAUAGAUAGUAAAGCCUCUGGAUGUUAUUUUUUACCCAACAUCAGUGGUAACAGACGCAUAAGGAACUGCUCAGAGUAGUACAGAAGGAACUCUAAUGCGCAGGCGCUUCGGUGGGGCAGCAGCAAAUGUGCGUGAUCUGGCUAAAGAGGGAACCCAGAAAGGGUGUCAGCUCCAAAUAUGGAUUAGCCACAGCCUUUCCACGAGGGGGAAUGGUGACCAUAUGUUUGCAAGUAUAAUUUACAGAAACAUAUAUGUGAUUAUUUUUUAAAAUAAGUGAACUAUUUAUAAAUCUUAGCCAAUGAAUCUUUGUGACAUCUCCUUUCAGGAAGCCUAAUUUUAAAAGGUAUAUAAAACCGUUCUCCUGGCCAACACUUGCAGGUUCUGCCCGCUUGGAUGGCUUCCCUAAAAAAGGAAAAAACAAACAAAACCAACCUUCCUUGGCUGUGUUUGCCAUCAACAUCAAGAACUGCAGCAAAGGCAUUCUGACUGCUGUUUAUUACUACUGUUUAUUCUGUCAUAAUUACUAUCACCAAACCCACAUGAUUACAGUAUACAGUGAACCCACAUGUUGAAGCUUUCUAGUAUAAUAAAAAUUUCAACUGUUCUGUUGAAUCAUCUGCCUGAUUGGAGGCUACAGAAAAGAUGUCAUCUUAGGAGUGCUUGCUCUGAGUGAGGCUCAUCUUCAAAUCUGAAUGACCACAAGGAGAUUUGAUUAUACAUGUGAACACCUCAGAAGGCACAGCCCACCCAGAAGGCAGACAGGUCAGGCUGCUUUUUCUUCAUUGCUUGGAUUCAAUCCUCCGGGCGGCUCAGGCUCAAACAUAACUUAAGCAUGAUUAAACUUUAGAAGAAGCUGCCAGGAAGACUGUGAAAUCUUCAUGCCCAAGGAUCCCUAAAAUUAGGAGCAACAACCACUUGGCUCAGACGGUUUAUGGAGGCAAAGGUUUGGAUGGGAUUAGAGAUUUCUAAAUGUGAGUUCGUGUCCUCUGCCAGACCACCUUACUUCCACCAUUCCUCAGCAAAUCAAGAAAAACAGGAGAAAAGACAUGCCUUUCCAUAAGUUAAAUCUAUUCUGUUUUAAUUCUAUAUUAUAUCUGCUGUACAACUUCUUUUGUUUGUAACACCAUAUUGUUGCUAGUAACUGGAAAUUAAUUUUCACAUGCCUCAGCUUAGAAAAAUAAAAAGCAGCCCUGCAUCAA